CGCCCGCCGCGCGCGGCGGGCGGGGCGGGGGCACGGGGGGCCUACGGGAGGCAGCAGUGGGGAAUAUUGGACAAUGGGCGAAAGCCUGAUCCAGCCAUGCCGCGUGUGUGAAGAAGGUCUUCGGAUUGUAAAGCACUUUAAGUUGGGAGGAAGGGUUUCUGGCUAAUAUCCAGGAAUUUUGACGUUACCGACAGAAUAAGCACCGGCUAACUUCGUGCCAGCAGCCGCGGUAAU
This 234-nucleotide ribosomal RNA is filed under the name uncultured bacterium. RNAcentral's name for it is "partial 16S ribosomal RNA". It matches the Rfam family "Bacterial small subunit ribosomal RNA", at positions 284 to 524 of the family's 1533-position model. The record is from RNAcentral.